This is an unclassified non-coding RNA of Pan paniscus (pygmy chimpanzee), 110 nucleotides long. It matches the Rfam family "Y RNA". Rfam says of the family: Y RNAs are components of the Ro ribonucleoprotein particle (Ro RNP), in association with Ro60 and La proteins. The Y RNAs and Ro60 and La proteins are well conserved, but the function of the Ro RNP is not known. The record is from Ensembl. NCBI's taxonomy places the organism in Eukaryota, Metazoa, Chordata, Mammalia, Primates, Hominidae.
GGCUGGUCUGAACAUAGUGAGUUAUCUCAGUUGAUUGUUCAGUCAGUUAUAGAUCUAACUCCUUGUUCUACUCUUUCCCCCUUCUCACUACUGCACUUGACUACUCAAAA